AUGCUUAACCUAACUAAUUAUCAGGGAAAUGAAAAUCAAAACAUAAUGAGGCCAGGCGAGGUGGCUCAUGCCUAUAAUCCCAGCACUUUGGGAGGUCGAGGUGGGCAGAUCAUGAGAUCAGAAGAUCAAGACCAUCCUGGUCAACAUGGUGAAACUAUAUAUUUGCUCCAACAGUGGUGGUGCAGCACAUUAGUGAACCUAAGAGCAUCCCCUGAUAAGCCUCUGACAUACAGGGCAAUGAGGCAAGAGAAGGAAAUACAGCGUAUUCAAACAGGAAGAGAGGAAGUCAAAAUGUCUGUUUGCAGACGACAUGGUUGUAUAUUUAGAAAACCCUGUCGUCUCAGCCAAAAAUCUUCUUACGCUGAUAAGCAACUUUAGCAAAGUCUCAGGAUACAAAAUCAAUAUGCAGAAAUCACAAGCAUUCCUAUACACCAAUAAUAGACGAAUAGAGAGCCAAAUCAUGAGUGUACUCCCAUUCACAAUUGCUACAAAGAGAACAAAAUACAUAGGAAUACAACUUACAAGGAAUGUGAAGGACCUCUUCAAGGAGAACUACCAAGCAUGGCUCAAGGAAAUAACUGAGGACACAAACAAAUGGAAAAGCAUUCCAUGCUCAUGAAUAGGAAGAAUCAAUAUUGUGAAAAUGGCCAUACUGCCCAAAGUAAUUUAUAGAUUCAGUGCUAUCCCCAUCAAGCUACCAUCAACUUUCUUCACAGAAUUAGAAAAACUACAUUAAAUUUCAUAUGGAACCAAGAAAGAGCCUGUAUAGUCAAGAGGAUCUUAAGCAAAAGAACAAAGCUGGAGGCAUCAUGCUACCUAACUUCAAACUAUACUACAAGGCUACAGUAACCAAAACAACAUGAUACUGGUACCAAAACAGAGAUAUAGACCAAUGGAACAGAACAGCAGCCUCAGAAGUAAUGCCACACAUCUACAACCAUCUGAUCUCUGACAAACCUGACAGAAACAAGCAAUGGGGAAAGGACUCCCUAUUUAAUAAAUGGUGUUGGGAAAACUGCCUAGCCAUGUCCAGAAAACUGAAACUGGACCCAUUCCUUAAAACGUAUACAAAAAUUAACUCAAGGUGGACUAAAGACUUAAAUGUAAGACCUAAAACUGUAAAAUUCCUAGAAGAAAAACCUAGGCAAUACCAUUCAGGACAUAGGCAUGGGCAAAGACUUCACGAUUAAAACACCAAAAGCAAUGGCAACAAAAGCCAAAGUUGACAAAUGAGAUCUAAUUAAACUGAAGAGCUUCUGCACAGCAAAAGAAAUUAUCAUCAGAGUGAACAGGUAAGAGUAUUCCAUGGUGUAUAUGUACCACAUUUUCUCUGUCCAGUCUAUCACUGAUGGGCAUUUGGGUUGGUCCCAAGUCUUUGCUAUUGUGAACAGUGCUGCAAUAAACAUACAUGUGCAUGUGUCUUAACAGUAGAAUGAUUUCUAGUAUAUACCCAGUAAUGGGACUGCUGGAUCAAAUGGUAUUUCUGGUUUUAGAUCCUUGAGGAAAUCAUUCUACUCUUAAGACACAUGCACAUGUAUGUUUAUUGCAGCACUGUUCACAAUAGCCUAUCUUGUUCUACUACAUUCCUAUUUUGUGGAUUCAUAAAAGACGUUUUGUUAACAAUUUUGUAUGUUUGAACUUUCUAAAUAGUUUCUGACGUAUAUAAAUGACAAAAGAAGCAACUAAACCUAAUUUUGUUUUAACUAGUUUCAUAUUAUAAGUUUUGUCAUGAUGAAAGUUGCCAUUUAUAUCCAGGAAACAUCCCAGUUCUGGCACAUUUCUGCCACAUUUCCUUCUGCCAGCCCCUCAGUUUUGACCUUUGUCAUUUCACACAGAGAUAAGCAUGAUGUACUUUAAUAAUAAAAUAAAAUAAAUCUCUGGCAUAAUUAUAUCCAUUUCAGAGUCUGCUUCCUGGGAAACCCAAUCUGCAACACUUGUUUUUGACUCCUGUAUGGGAAUGUUUUAUUGAUUGCUUCUCUCACCCAUCCCUUCAACAAUUUUAUUCCUAAAGGUAAUGACUGCUUCUCUAGUGCUUUGGAAUUUUAUCCGAAGUUGCUAACACCUGCUCAUUUUGCAAGUUUUGAAGCUGGUACCUUUGACCUUCCAUGUUAAAUAGACAAUGGCUACGACAUCACCACUACAAACUGGCCACCUAAACGCUACUGUAAGAGGCCAUUGUAACUCUCAGCCCCAUUUCAAAGGUAUGAAAAAUAGGAGGAAAAUUUGCAUCUUUCAGGGUCGUUUCUCCUAUUCCUCUGGGUUUCUUUUGGAUGUAAGAGGUUCAGAUGACUUCAUGGCCUUAGGGAUGGGUAUUUUGUCUGUGGGCUAUUUGACGCAAGGCUGGCCUCUGCCAAACAGCCUUGUCCUGCUUGGCCUUUGGCAGUGGCCUCUUUCCUUGGUGGCCAAAGGUCGCAGCUGGUCUAUUUCUUGACCUGUGCUUAAGGGUCUCUGGGAGUUUGGGGCCUCAUCUCAGUUCUGGCGAUCCCUUGAGAUCUGUCUGUGACUUGGGCCCUCCAAUUCAGGUCUCUGUGCCCCUUGCCCUUGUGAAGUCUUCCACUCCCUCUUAGCUGUCAUCUGAGAAACACUAGGUCCUUGCAGUCUAGGUUAGCCCUGCCACUAUUUAAACUCCAUGCUGCUCACUUCAUGUUGGCAUAGGACACUUAGAGAGUUUUCUUCCUUCUUAGGGCUCCAGGGGAGAGGCAGGGGUUUCAUCAGACCCUCAAAACGAAGUCCUUCCUUCCCGCUUCAGGGUUUCAGCAUUAGGAGCGGGCCGGACCAGAGCCCCAAUUCAGAAAUACUCACCUGCAUCUAAAUUUCUUACCUUUCUUCAAACCUUCUUUCUGCCUUAUGUGCUUAAUUUUUCGAGUAUGAAAAUUGCUUUCACAUCAUUUUUUGGGUCCUCUCAAGUCUGUGGUUCAUAGUACACAUGUUUGUGGUUAGUCUAAGAUUGGCUGUUGAUAUUUAAACCCGAGUUUCUGGAAUUCUAAGCCAACUGACUUCUUCCUUUCUUCUUUCUCUCCGUCUCUUCUUCCUCCCCCUUGUCUUUCUCCUUUGCCUUCUGCUGAAAUCUCAACAAAGCCUGACCCUUUCAAUAAAAAAUCCUUUAUGUGUGCUGUGAGUUAAAAAUUCUGUUCAGCAAUUCAGUUGACUUACUUGAAUCAGUUUGUAUCAAAAUAUUUUCCAGACUCCAGAUACAUAUCACACUGUUCUCUGCAAUGAAUUUAUCUUCUGUCUCAGGUCUAUGAAACAUUUAAUAAGAGUGAUCAGUUAUUAAGCCACAAGAAAAAUUUUAACAUGUUCCAAGAACAAGAAAUCAUGCAGGCCACAAUCUUGGACCACAGUGCAGAGAAACUGAGCAUUAAUGCCAAAACUUUAAAAAUAAUAAAAAACCAACACACUCCUAUGUAACUUUUAGAUGAAAGAGAAAUCAGAACUAUAAUUACAGAUUAUACAGAAACAAUGAAAACAAGAACAUUAUAUAAAUUAGAAGGCCAAGGUUGUACACAUAGAACAGCUAAAGUUUUAAGGGCUUUUAUAAUUAAACAAGAAAAAAGAAUAGAAAUAAAUUUUUCAACUAGAAGUUAAAAAGAGAGCCAAGAGAAUAUGACUAGGGAAAUAGAAAGAAGAAAUUGAGACUAAGGCGGAAAUUAAUGGUUAGAAGAGAGAAAAUUCAAUGAAUUGGAUACAGAGAUGGUUCCUUAAAAUACCAGAAAAAAAGAGAAACAUCUGCAAAGCUAGUCAAGAUAAAUAAGAGGAACAAACAAACAAUUGGGAUGAGAACAGAAUAUAAUGACAAGUAAAAGGAAGAUUUACAGGUUUAUUUUGUAGGUUAUGUUGAACUCUGUGCUAAAGUUGUGAAAUCUGGGUAAAAUGAAUGAUAUCCUAAUAAAACAUGAACAAACAAAAUUUAUUAGAGAAGAAGAAAAUAUAAAUAUACUCAUGAUCUUGGAAGAAAAUUUAAAAGUUGUCAAAGCUCUCCCAAAAUGCGUCUAGAUUUUACAAGCUAAUUCCAUUAGAACUUCAUGGAGCACAUAAUUGCCAUGUGGUUUAGACUGUUCAGAGCAUAGGAAAAGAUGGAGCAUGAUCCACAAUUUUGUUAAAGUAGCAUAAUCUUGGUAUCAAAACUCGUGGCAGAAAUCUACUAAAAUCUCAAAUAUGAAUAUGGUUCCAAGAAUCCCAGGUAAAAUACUAACAAAUCAAAUUCUACAGAACAACAAAAUAACCAUGUGAUAUCAGGGUUUUUCUAAGAAUGCAGGCAUAGUUCAAUAAUAGAAAAAUCUCAAACAUUGUAGGUGGGGAAAUAAAUUGAUACAGCUUUUGGGGAGGAUAAUUUGGCACAACCUAUCAAAUUUAGAAAUGCAUCUAAUGUGUGACUUGGCAAUUCCUGUUACAGUUAUCUGUAUCCUAAAAAAGUUAUGGGCACAAGAUGUUAGUACAAGAAUGCUUUUACUGCAACAUUUUUCCUUGGUAAUACAAAAAAAGAGAAACAG
Molecule: long non-coding RNA, 4490 nt
Organism: Callithrix jacchus (white-tufted-ear marmoset)
Lineage: Eukaryota; Metazoa; Chordata; Mammalia; Primates; Cebidae
Source: Ensembl